GUGGGGAAUAUUGGGCAAUGGGCGAAAGCCUGACCCAGCAACGCCGCGUGAAGGAAGAAGGUCUUCGGAUCGUAAACUUCUAUCCUUGGUGAAGAUAAUGACGGUAGCCGAGAAGGAAGCCCCGGCUAACUACGUGCCAGCAGCCGCGGUAAUACGUAGGGGGCAAGCGUUGUCCGGAAUGAUUGGGCGUAAAGGGCGCGUAGGCGGCCUGGUAAGUCUGGAUUGAAAGUCCUGCUUUUAAGGUGGGAAUUGCUUUGGAUACUGUCGGGCUUGAGUGCAGGAGAGUUAAGUGGAAUUCCCGGUGUAGCGGUGAAAUGCGUAGAGAUCGGGAGGAACACCAGUGGCGAAGGCGACUUACUGGACUGUAACUGACGCUGAGGCGCGAAAGUGUGGGGAGCAAACAGGAUUAGAUACCCUAGUAGUCC
RNAcentral lists this ribosomal RNA (425 nucleotides) under uncultured bacterium. RNAcentral's name for it is "partial 16S ribosomal RNA". It matches the Rfam family "Bacterial small subunit ribosomal RNA", at positions 354 to 796 of the family's 1533-position model. The record is from RNAcentral.